GAGCACCGGGAGGCGGGCCCUGCGUGGGGCCGCGCGCAGCAGCGGCGACGACUUUAUCUGGGCCGCGGGGGACAGCGCAGGGCCAUGGAGGAGGCGGCCGCAGCUCCGAUUUCUCCGUGGACGAUGGCAGCCACGAUUCAGGCCAUGGAGAGGAAGAUUGAAUCGCAGGCUGCUCACCUGCUUUCCCUAGAAGGUCAAACCGGGAUGGCCGAGAAGAAGCUGGCUGAUUGCGAGAAGACAGCCGUGGAGUUCGGGAACCAGCUGGAGGGCAAGUGGGCCGUGCUGGGGACCCUGCUGCAGGAGUACGGGCUGCUGCAGAGGCGGCUGGAGAACGUGGAGAACCUGCUGCACAACAGGAACUUCUGGAUCCUGCGGCUGCCCCCGGGCAGCAAGGGGGAGUCCCCUAAGGUGCCUAUGACAUUUGAUGAUGUGGCUGUGUAGUUCUCUGAGCAAGUGUGGGGCAAGCUGGAGGACUGGCAGAAGGAGCUCUGCAAGCACGUGAUGAGGGGCAACUGCGAGAUGCUGGUCUCUUUGGACUACGCCAUCUCCAAGUCCGAGGUCCUCUCCCAGAUUGAACAAGGGAAGGAGCCCUGCAACUGGCGCCGCCCUGACCCCAAGAUUCCAGAUGUUCCUGUGGACCCCAGUCCAGAUGCAGAAACUGAGGCCCAGCAGAGAUUGAGUAACUUAUGCGAGUUGUCACUCACCUCACACGCCCCAGCAAGCAUCCAGGAGAGCCUGCCUCUUGGAAUAGAAAUCAGACAUCCCACAGGAACUCUGAGGUUUUCCCACUGCUGCCAGAUGUAUGCAAGGAACACGUGAUCUUCGUAAUUCCAGAGCGGGGCAAACUGCUUGGCACCUCUUCAAUAGGUGACAUUCAAUGAUAGAUCUCUGGCUUCCUGCUCUGUUUGUUCUGGUUGCCCUGGAAAGCCUGCUGCUCAGCCCAUGCCCCGGGACUUCCUCCACCCUCACCAGGACAUUCUUUCCAUCUCUUGUCUCCUGUGUGCAAGUCCCUUUCUCCUGGAUUCCAUGUCUUGAAUGUUUCUUAAUUUACUUCCUCAUUUUGGCAGAGGAUGUCCUCCAGUUGUUUUCUGGGAAUGCUAAUAUGCAAGUGAACCAGUGACCUGCAGUUCUGCCCACACAGGGUUAAUAACCAAUCAGAUUCUCUCUUUUCAAGAUGGUUAACAUAACAGACACCAAGAAAGGGAAGAGGAGCCGACAGCAGAGGGGGAAGCUGAAAAGACGCACAAAGAAUGGCCAUAAAAGAUAUGAGCAACCCCAGCUUUCCAGACAGUCACUUUUCCCAGUGGUCAUACCUGGUCUGGAAGAUUCCCCAUCAUCUCGAAUAAAGCUGUUGUUGCUUUUAACUCCAUGGAGAGACCGAAUGGAGUGAGCCCAGCAGGGCAUGCUGGGCAAGAGAGGUCCCCCGAGUCCCAAAUAAGAAUUUCAACUAGUAUAAAACGAGGCAGCGAACCCACACGUGGAAGUCUGAUACCGCUUGCAGAAGGGAAUUGAAUAGAUGUCUCCCUAUUGGUAAGGAUGUGGUUUUAUUGACUUGAAAUAACAAAGCCCGCAAGCAACAACUGAUCAUCCGCGGGAUGCUGCCACAAGGAAUAAUUGAGCACUCAUUCAGACACAGGGGAAACCACUGCCUCUUUCAGUCUUUCUCCCAGAUUCCAACAGUCAGUGUUACAGCAUUUCACCUUGUUCACCUCCCUGAGAAGACGUUGCAGCUCACUCACCCCAGUGGGCACUGGGAGCCUCUGCUCAGGUGGGAGACAGAUGCCCCCCACAUGCACAUCUGGUGUUUAUGAAGCAGAUACUGGGGCUUCAUAAACACAGAAGGGGCAGGGAAGUAGCCCCAGGGCAUAGUGUGGGGCCUCCUGACUAAAAGUAGCUUGCAAACCCCUGCCUAUAACAGCCACUUCCUGGCAGUCAUUGUGCCACUUAGGAGCCCUCCUCACCGCUCUUCCUUUAGUUCCUUCACUCUGUAUAGACCCUGCCAGAGCAGCUCAGGGUGGAGCAGCUGCAGCCAUGGGACCUGCUCCAGGCAAGGCCCUAUGCUACACAGUCCCUGGGGGUGAGGAUUCCAGAGGAGUCAAUUCCCUACCCGCCCUUCCAGGGGAUGGCCGAGAUGAGCGUUCCCACAGGGAAAGUGAAAGUUGCAAGGCUGUUGCGGAAACACCAGGGGUUCCAUCUAGGUCUUGCUGCUCAUCUCACAGAAAGCCAGUCACUGAGACAAGUAUUGUCAGGGAAGAAGGCUUUAUCCAGGUGCUACAGACAGGGUGAACAAGAGAUCAGUCUCAAAUCCAUCAUCAUCAACUGACUAAAAUUAGGGGUUUAUAUAGCAGGGAAGAAAUGUAACUACAUGUGGGAAAACAGGGAUUAACGAGGGGCAAGGAAGAGGAGUUGGCCAACAGGCAGCAGGUGGUCACCUGGGGAAUCAUGAUGGGUGAGGGGUCUGGCUUCUCACUUUCCAGAUGUGGGGAUCUGGUAAAUUUCAGUUUCUUGAUACCGUCUGGGAGGAUUGCUGGCUGGUUUCCUGAGAAAGGAAUUCAGAUGACAUAAAUGUAAAUUUCUCCUUGGGUUUCAAGACUGAGAGGGUCAAUUUCUAGGUUUAUUCAAGAAAAACCAUAAACAUCAGUUCUAUGGGACAAUUGGGCCCAUUUCAAGGCUCUGAGGAUAAGGGUUAAUGAGGGGACAGAGUCGCCUGGAGAAGUUCACUGGGGCCUACAAGAAACUAGAGAGGCUUCCUGGCAAAGCUCUAUGCUGUCUAUCCUCUCUUCUCUCCUUGCAGGAAGAUUCCAGUAUAAUAGACCCGAGGUGAAAAGGCUUUUGUUCAAUAAGUAGAAAACUGAAGGGGGGUGGGAGGCACAUGGAUUUGAACCAGAGACCGCUUGGCCUGCAGGCAAAUGCUGUACCUUCAGUUGCACCCCUCACUUGUUACAGCUGUUUCUGAUAAGCACUUGUGCAGCCCCAUCAGCACCUCGAUUUCUUCUUGGUGAGUCCAUGGGAACAGCCCCACUGCAAACAACCCAUUCCUGCUCUCCUCUUUCCUCUAAACCUCAACCUCCUCCUACCUGGCAGUCCACAGGCCUACAGCUUCUCCUCAGUGGGAAAGACAUCAGCUUGGAAAACCACUUGGAAAGCCAACGUUAUCCUAGAAAAGCUUUUUAAAUGACCCAGCAGGACAAGUCUCCGGAUGGCCUUGGCCAACCCGGUGCUUCCCUCUUUUCUUGGUUGUAGUUCUCAGAAUAACUAGAGAAUGUACUGGGAGUGUUGUCCUGAGAUAAGGAGGAACUGUCCUAAACCUGGACUCUGUUCCCAUCACACCUAGAACAGGAUGUCCUGCAACGCUUUAGCCCAAUGAUCCAAGUUGCCCUUGGGGUAUAAAACUUGACAGCAGAGGGCGUUCAGGGUCCCUCAGCUGCAGUGUGAAGUGGGACACACAGGUGAGACUCCAUCUGCCCUGGGCAGGUUCCUGAGCCUUGGGGGACCAGUUCACCCUACAUCCCAGGCUUCUGUUGUCCCUUGCCUGCCUGUAAGGAAUAAAGUUGCUUUGCUUAA
Molecule: long non-coding RNA, 3564 nt
Organism: Homo sapiens (human)
Lineage: Eukaryota; Metazoa; Chordata; Mammalia; Primates; Hominidae
Gene: ZNF767P
Product: zinc finger family member 767, pseudogene
Source: Ensembl